ACCGUGAACUGUGGCCUCGGCCAUUUACACAAACUGUUAGUAAUGAAUGUAACAUCAUAACAAACAUAAAACUUUUAACAACGGAUCUCUUGGCUCUCGCAUCGAUGAAGAACGCAGCGAAAUGCGAUAAGUAAUGUGAAUUGCAGAAUUCAGUGAAUCAUCGAAUCUUUGAACGCACCUUGCGCCCUUUGGUAUUCCGAAGGGCAUGCCUGUUUGAGUGUCAUGAAACCUCACCCCACCUGGGUUUUUGCCCGGAUGGCGGUGGAUUGGGUGUUGCCUUUACCGGCUCGCCUCAAAAGCAUAAGCGCCUUGGAUGUAAUACGUUUCAUCCUCUUGGGUGGCUUACAACCCCACAUAUCUCAUGAUCUGGCCUCAAAUCAGGUAGGGCUACCCGCUGAACUUAAGCAUAUCAAUAAGCGGAGGA
Molecule: ribosomal RNA, 424 nt
Filed under: Cryptococcus sp. SJ8L03
Lineage: Eukaryota; Fungi; Basidiomycota; Tremellomycetes; Tremellales; Cryptococcaceae
Also listed under: 1 other name
Description: eukaryotic LSU rRNA
Rfam family: 5.8S ribosomal RNA (bases 70-223)
Source: RNAcentral